AUCGGUGGUAGCUCAGUCGGGUAAGCGCCGGCUUCCCACGCCAGUGAUGCGGGUGCGAAUUCCGGCGCUGACA
RNAcentral lists this transfer RNA (73 nucleotides) under Plutella xylostella (diamondback moth). RNAcentral's name for it is "tRNA-Gly". Lineage: Eukaryota; Metazoa; Arthropoda; Insecta; Lepidoptera; Plutellidae. The record is from RNAcentral.